RNAcentral lists this unclassified non-coding RNA (145 nucleotides) under uncultured fungus. RNAcentral's name for it is "sequence contains ITS1". Lineage: Eukaryota; Fungi. The record is from RNAcentral.
UUAAUUCUCAUGUAUGUUCAGACGCAAACGCUUAUCGGCAUAAAUGCGGCGCCGGAGCGCCGAAGCACGGGUUGCUUCCACAGGUUUGAGGGUUGAAGGCCGAAGCCAUUCAGUAAUGAUCCCUCCGCUGGUUCACCAACGGAGA